AAUCAACGCUGGCGGCGUGCCUAACACAUGCAAGUCGAACGGGAAAGUGGAGCAAUCCAUGAGUAUAGUGGCGACCGGGUGAGUAACACGUGACUAACCUACCUUCAAGUGGGGGAUAACCUCGGGAAACCGGGGCGUAAUACCGCAUAAAAUCUCUGUUAUGAGAAAGCAGGGAUCAAAGGAGCAAUUCGCUGGAAGAGGGGGUCGCGGCUGAUUAGCUAGUUGGUGGGGUAAUGGCCCACCAAGGCUUUGAUCGGUAGCCGGCCUGAGAGGGCGCACGGCCACACUGGAACUGAAACACGGUCCAGACUCCUACGGGAGGCAGCAGUGGGGAAUUUUGCGCAAUGGGGGAAACCCUGACGCAGCAACGCCGCGUGGAGGAUGAAGUCCCUUGGGACGUAAACUCCUUUCGACCGGGAAGAUUAUGACGGUACC
This 435-nucleotide ribosomal RNA is filed under the name uncultured bacterium. RNAcentral's name for it is "bacterial SSU rRNA". It matches the Rfam family "Bacterial small subunit ribosomal RNA", at positions 32 to 479 of the family's 1533-position model. The record is from RNAcentral.